GCUGCCGUGGCUGACUGGUGACGGUAUUCGUUUUGUAAGCGAAUGGUUCUGGGUUCGAUUCCCAUCCGCUCCC
Molecule: transfer RNA, 73 nt
Organism: Culex pipiens (northern house mosquito)
Lineage: Eukaryota; Metazoa; Arthropoda; Insecta; Diptera; Culicidae
Rfam family: tRNA
About the family: Transfer RNA (tRNA) molecules are approximately 80 nucleotides in length. Their secondary structure includes four short double-helical elements and three loops (D, anti-codon, and T loops). Further hydrogen bonds mediate the characteristic L-shaped molecular structure. tRNAs have two regions of fundamental functional importance: the anti-codon, which is responsible for specific mRNA codon recognition, and the 3' end, to which the tRNAs corresponding amino acid is attached (by aminoacyl-tRNA synthetases). tRNAs cope with the degeneracy of the genetic code in two manners: having more than one tRNA (with a specific anti-codon) for a particular amino acid; and 'wobble' base-pairing, i.e. permitting non-standard base-pairing at the 3rd anti-codon position.
Source: Rfam